This 2591-nucleotide ribosomal RNA is filed under the name Enterococcus faecium. RNAcentral's name for it is "partial 23S ribosomal RNA". It matches the Rfam family "Bacterial large subunit ribosomal RNA", at positions 1 to 2601 of the family's 2925-position model. The record is from RNAcentral. Lineage: Bacteria; Bacillati; Bacillota; Bacilli; Lactobacillales; Enterococcaceae.
AGGUUAAGUGAAUAAGGGCGCACGGUGGAUGCCUUGGCACUAGGAGCCGAUGAAGGACGGGACUAACACCGAUAUGCUUUGGGGAGCUGUACGUAAGCUAUGAUCCAGAGAUUUCCGAAUGGGGGAACCCAACAUCUUUAAUAGGAUGUUACGAUUGUGUGAAUACAUAGCACAUUCGAGGUAGACGCAGAGAACUGAAACAUCUAAGUACCUGCAGGAAGAGAAAGAAAAUUCGAUUCCCUGAGUAGCGGCGAGCGAAACGGGAAAAGCCCAAACCAGCAAGCUUGCUUGUUGGGGUUGUAGGACUCCAAUAUGGUAGUUCUUUCAGAUAGUCGAAUGACUUGGAAAAGUCAGUCAAAGAGGGUAAAAACCCCGUAGACGAAAUGUGGAAGACACCUAGGAGGAUCCUGAGUACGGCGGAACACGAGAAAUUCCGUCGGAAUCCGGGAGGACCAUCUCCCAAGGCUAAAUACUCCCUAGUGACCGAUAGUGAACCAGUACCGUGAGGGAAAGGUGAAAAGCACCCCGGAAGGGGAGUGAAAUAGAACCUGAAACCGUGUGCCUACAACAAGUCAAAGCCCGUUAAUGGGUGAUGGCGUGCCUUUUGUAGAAUGAACCGGCGAGUUACGAUUGCAUGCGAGGUUAAGUUGAAGAGACGGAGCCGCAGCGAAAGCGAGUCUGAAUAGGGCGUUUGAGUAUGUAGUCGUAGACCCGAAACCAUGUGAUCUACCCAUGUCCAGGUUGAAGGUGCGGUAAAACGCACUGGAGGACCGAACCCACGUACGUUGAAAAGUGCGGGGAUGAGGUGUGGGUAGCGGAGAAAUUCCAAACGAACUUGGAGAUAGCUGGUUCUCUCCGAAAUAGCUUUAGGGCUAGCCUCGGAAUUGAGAAUGAUGGAGGUAGAGCACUGUUUGGACUAGGGGCCCAUCUCGGGUUACCGAAUUCAGAUAAACUCCGAAUGCCAUUCAUUCAUAUCCGGGAGUCAGACUGUGAGUGAUAAGAUCCAUAGUCGAAAGGGAAACAGCCCAGACCACCAGCUAAGGUCCCAAAAUAUAUGUUAAGUGGAAAAGGAUGUGGGGUUGCACAGACAACUAGGAUGUUGGCUUAGAAGCAGCCACCAUUUAAAGAGUGCGUAAUAGCUCACUAGUCGAGUGACCCUGCGCCGAAAAUGUACCGGGGCUAAACAUAUUACCGAAGCUGUGGAGUACACCUUUAGGUGUAUUGGUAGGAGAGCGUUCUAAGGGCGUCGAAGGCAGAUCGUGAGGACUGCUGGAGCGCUUAGAAGUGAGAAUGCCGGUAUGAGUAGCGAAAGACAGGUGAGAAUCCUGUCCACCGAAUGACUAAGGUUUCCUGGGGAAGGCUCGUCCGCCCAGGGUUAGUCGGGACCUAAGCCGAGGCCGACAGGCGUAGGCGAUGGAUAACAGGUUGAUAUUCCUGUACCCGUUGUUUUUGUUUGAGCAAUGGAGGGACGCAGGAGGCUAAGGAAUGCAGACGAUCGGAAAUGUCUGUCCAAGCAGUAAGUCUGAAGAGGAGUCAAAUGCUUCUUUUCUUAAGGACAAGCUGUGAUGGGGAGGGAAAUAAUAGUACCGAAGUUCCUGAUGUCACACUGCCGAGAAAAGCUUCUAGUGAGAAAACAGCGGCCCGUACCGCAAACCGACACAGGUAGUCGAGGAGAGAAUCCUAAGGUGAGCGAGAGAACUCUCGUUAAGGAACUCGGCAAAAUGACCCCGUAACUUCGGGAGAAGGGGUGCUGAUCAUACGAUCAGCCGCAGUGAAUAGGCCCAAGCGACUGUUUAUCAAAAACACAGGUCUCUGCAAAAUCGUAAGAUGAAGUAUAGGGGCUGACGCCUGCCCGGUGCUGGAAGGUUAAGAGGAGUGCUUAGCGCAAGCGAAGGUACGAAUUGAAGCCCCAGUAAACGGCGGCCGUAACUAUAACGGUCCUAAGGUAGCGAAAUUCCUUGUCGGGUAAGUUCCGACCCGCACGAAAGGCGUAACGAUUUGGGCACUGUCUCAACGAGAGACUCGGUGAAAUUUUAGUACCUGUGAAGAUGCAGGUUACCCGCGACAGGACGGAAAGACCCCAUGGAGCUUUACUGUAGUUUGAUAUUGAGUGUCUGUACCGCAUGUACAGGAUAGGUAGGAGCCGUAGAAAUCGGAACGCUAGUUUCGAUGGAGGCGCUGGUGGGAUACUACCCCUGCGUUAUGGCCACUCUAACCCGCACCACUAAUCGUGGUGGGAGACAGUGUCAGAUGGGCAGUUUGACUGGGGCGGUCGCCUCCUAAAAGGUAACGGAGGCGCCCAAAGGUUCCCUCAGAAUGGUUGGAAAUCAUUCGAAGAGUGUAAAGGCAGAAGGGAGCUUGACUGCGAGACCAACAAGUCGAGCAGGGACGAAAGUCGGGCUUAGUGAUCCGGUGGUUCCGCAUGGAAGGGCCAUCGCUCAACGGAUAAAAGCUACCCUGGGGAUAACAGGCUUAUCUCCCCCAAGAGUCCACAUCGACGGGGAGGUUUGGCACCUCGAUGUCGGCUCGUCGCAUCCUGGGGCUGUAGUCGGUCCCAAGGGUUGGGCUGUUCGCCCAUUAAAGCGGCACGC